Molecule: ribosomal RNA, 631 nt
Filed under: uncultured bacterium
Lineage: Bacteria
Description: bacterial SSU rRNA
Rfam family: Bacterial small subunit ribosomal RNA
Source: RNAcentral
UGGAUUUGCUGAGUGGCGGACGGGUGAGUAACGCGUGGAUACCUGCCUCACACUGGGGGAUAACAGUUAGAAAUGACUGCUAAUACCGCAUAAGACCGCAUGGUAAAAACUCCGGUGGUGUGAGAUGGAUCCGCGUCUGAUUAGCCAGUUGGCGGGGUAACGGCCCACCAAAGCGACGAUCAGUAGCCGACCUGAGAGGGUGACCGGCCACAUUGGGACUGAGACACGGCCCAAACUCCUACGGGAGGCAGCAGUGGGGAAUAUUGCACAAUGGGGGAAACCCUGAUGCAGCGACGCCGCGUGAGUGAAGAAGUAUUUCGGUAUGUAAAGCUCUAUCAGCAGGGAAGAAGUGACGGUACCUGAAUAAGAAGCCCCGGCUAACUACGUGCCAGCAGCCGCGGUAAUACGUAGGGGGCAAGCGUUAUCCGGAUUUACUGGGUGUAAAGGGAGCGUAGACGGCAAGGCAAGUCUGAAGUGAAAGCCCGGUGCUUAACGCCGGGACUGCUUUGGAAACUGUUUAGCUGGAGUGCCGGAGAGGUAAGCGGAAUUCCUAGUGUAGCGGUGAAAUGCGUAGAUAUUAGGAAGAACACCAGUGGCGAAGGCGGCUUACUGGACGGUAACUGACGUUGAG